AGGACUAUAGCUUAGUGGCAGAGCAUCUGCCUUCCAUCUAGAAGGUCCCAGGUUCAUCUCUUGCCUAAAACCCUGGAGAGCUAGUGCCA
Non-coding RNA from Podarcis lilfordi (Lilford's wall lizard), 89 nucleotides. Lineage: Eukaryota; Metazoa; Chordata; Lepidosauria; Squamata; Lacertidae. The record is from the annotation of a GenBank genome assembly.